CCACGCUGUAAACGAUGUCGAUUUGGAGUUUGUUGCCUAGAGUGAUGGGCUCCGAAGCUAACGCGAUAAAUCGACCGCCUGGGGAGUACGGCCGCAAGGUUAAAACUCAAAUGAAUUGACGGGGGCCCGCACAAGCGGUGGAGCAUGUGGUUUAAUUCGAUGCAACGCGAAGAACCUUACCUGGUCUUGACAUCCAUAGAAUUCUGCAGAGAUGUGGGAGUGCCUUCGGGAACUAUGAGACAGGUGCUGCAUGGCUGUCGUCAGCUCGUGUUGUGAAAUGUUGGGUUAAGUCCCGCAACGAGCGCAACCCUUAUUCUUUGUUGCCAGCGAUUUGGUCGGGAACUCAAAGGAGACUGCCGUUGAUAAAGCGGAGGAAGGUGGGGACGACGUCAAGUCAUCAUGGCCCUUACGACCAGGGCUACACACGUGCUACAAUGGCGUAUACAAAGGGAAGCGAAGGUGCGAGCUGGAGCGGAUCUCAUAAAGUACGUCUAAGUUCGGAUUGGAGUCUGCAACUCGACUCCAUGAAGUCGGAACCGCUAGUAAUCGUAGAUCAGAAUGCUACGGUGAAUACGUUCCCGGGCCUUGUACACACCGCCCGUCACACCAUGGGAGUGGGUUGCACCAGAAGUAGAUAGCUUAACCGCGAGGGGGGCGUUUACCACGGUGUGAUUCAUGACUGGAGUGAAGUCGUAACAAGGUAACCA
This 707-nucleotide ribosomal RNA is filed under the name uncultured Enterobacteriaceae bacterium. RNAcentral describes it as "bacterial SSU rRNA". It matches the Rfam family "Bacterial small subunit ribosomal RNA", at positions 795 to 1502 of the family's 1533-position model. The record is from RNAcentral. Lineage: Bacteria; Pseudomonadati; Pseudomonadota; Gammaproteobacteria; Enterobacterales; Enterobacteriaceae.